AGCGAACGCUGGCGGCAGGCCUAACACAUGCAAGUCGAACGGAUCCUUCGGGAUAGUGGCGGACGGGUGAGUAACACGUGGGAACGUGCCCUUUGGUUCGGAACAACUCAGGGAGACUUGAGCUAAUACCGGAUGUGCCCUUCGGGGGAAAGAUUUAUCGCCAUUGGAGCGGCCCGCGUCUGAUUAGCUAGUUGGUGGGGUAAAGGCCCACCAAGGCGACGAUCAGUAGCUGGUCUGAGAGGAUGAUCAGCCACAUUGGGACUGAGACACGGCCCAAACUCCUACGGGAGGCAGCAGUGGGGAAUCUUGCGCAAUGGGCGAAAGCCUGACGCAGCCAUGCCGCGUGAAUGAUGAAGGUCUUAGGAUUGUAAAAUUCUUUCACCGGGGACGAUAAUAACGGUACCCGGAGAAGAAGCCCCGGCUAACUUCGUGCCAGCCGCCGCCGUAA
RNAcentral lists this ribosomal RNA (448 nucleotides) under uncultured bacterium. RNAcentral's name for it is "partial 16S ribosomal RNA". It matches the Rfam family "Bacterial small subunit ribosomal RNA", at positions 29 to 523 of the family's 1533-position model. The record is from RNAcentral.